AUAGCGUAUAUUUAAGUUGUUGCAGUUAAAAAGCUCGUAGUUGGAUUUCGGGUGGGUACCGCCGGUCUCCCUUUGGGUAUGUACUGGCGUGGCCCGCCUUGCUGUCGGGGACGGUCUCCUGGGCUUCAUUGUCCGGGAAUCGGAGUCGACGAGGUUACUUUGAGUAAAUUAGAGUGUUCAAAGCAAGCCCACGCUCUGAAUAUAAUAGCAUGGGAUAACACGACAGGACUCUGGCCUAUCGUGUUGGUCUGUAGGACCGGAGUAAUGAUUAAGAGGGACAGUCGGGGGCAUUCGUAUUCCAUUGUCAGAGGUGAAAUUCUUGGAUUUAUGGAAGACGAACAUCUG
Molecule: ribosomal RNA, 345 nt
Filed under: uncultured eukaryote
Lineage: Eukaryota
Description: SSU rRNA
Rfam family: Eukaryotic small subunit ribosomal RNA
Source: RNAcentral